Molecule: long non-coding RNA, 1407 nt
Filed under: Malus domestica (apple)
Lineage: Eukaryota; Viridiplantae; Streptophyta; Magnoliopsida; Rosales; Rosaceae
Description: long non-coding RNA (MDOM_LNC008305)
Source: RNAcentral
UAAUUGAUUGUCUCUAUAGUAGAGAUAAUAUGGUAGUGUUAACUGUUUAGAAUAUAAUGAUGCUUAAAACCCAAAAGGUUGCAAGGUAGUGACUAAUCCCAACUAAAGUUGUGAUACCUCUAAAACAUAAAUUACGAGUUGUUCAUUGAUGGGUGCUUUGGAUCGUUAGAUCCGGAUCCAAUACCUUCUUGUUAAAAUUGUAUAGAGGCGAAAUGUUCGAAUCUUUAUUCUUUUGGAAAGAAGAAAGAAUCACAAAGUUGUUGAGGUUAAUUCACUUAGAUGUUAGUGGGACUUGUCCACAAACUUAAUACUACUCAUGUUGUAUGACAUUCACCGAAGAUCACUCUCGGUUGGACUAUAGUUUAUUUUUGAAUAAACACAAAGUCCGAAUACUUUGCAAAAUGUUUCAAAGAAUUCAAUUAAUGUAAGUUGAUGAGUAAGACGUCUAAAGUAUUUACCUCCUUAGAUUUGAUCCAAGGAAAAUAAACACUUUAGAUGAGUCUCCUUGAAAGAUAUCAAGGAAAGAAGCAUCAUAAGAUAAUAGGUUUCUCCAUUAAGGAGAAGAACGAACUCGAAUAAGAUUUAGUUCGUUAGAUGUUAUCUAUUACCCAUAUAUAGGAUAUAUAUUUCUAAAAACAAUAUGAUUGUCAAUUAGAAGAUCUUCCAAAUUUUUUCAUGACUCCAUAAGAUGUAGUUGGAAAGAAAGACAAAUCUCAAGCAUGUUAAGAUUUGGGGUUGUGAGCUAAUAAGCAAUAUUUGUUUGAUAACAAUCUUGUGGGAUAUCCUUAAAUUAACUUUUGGAUAUCGCUUCUAUAAACCAACUAACAAAUGUUGUUUUGUUGAGUAGUUCAUUGUAAUCCUACAAUGUGAUUUGCCUAAAAGCAAAUAAACGAGAGAUAGAACUCAAAGAAUGGGUUCUUUGAGAGACAAGAAAGUAAUCAACAAAUAUAAACAACCUAGUUCCUAUACCAAAAGCUUCAAGGUAGUCAAGAAGGAUUUAUAAACCGUCUCAGUUGAAUGGUUUGAACUUUAUGACUAUGUCAUAGAGUUACACCUCUUAAUUCGAAAGAAAUAAGAAUGAAAAUCCUUAUGACUACAUUGAGUGCAUAUACGAUAUAUACUCAAGGAAAUGGUAAAGUACCAUUUAACCCGAAAUAAUGAAACCUUCAUAAGCUAAUUGGUAGCUUAAGGUGACUACAAUCAAAGAGAAUGGUUGACUUUGAAGGAACCAUUUUUGACGUAGUCUUAGUUUCAAUUAAAUUCGAAGAUUGCUAGCUACAACUAAAUGGUGAUUCAAUGUUUGGACAUAAUAUAGGUUUCCGAAACCAUUAUUAAGAUAGUCUUGAUAAUAUAUGUCUAAAACUAUGAAUCACAAUACAUGUAAGUUGUAGAGAUCCAUCCAUCAUG